Molecule: ribosomal RNA, 1372 nt
Filed under: uncultured bacterium
Lineage: Bacteria
Description: bacterial SSU rRNA
Rfam family: Bacterial small subunit ribosomal RNA
Source: RNAcentral
GAUGAACGCUGGCGGCGUGCCUAAUACAUGCAAGUCGAGCGAACGGACGAGAAGCUUGCUUUUCUGAUGUUAGCGGCGGACGGGUGAGUAACACGUGGAUAACCUACCUAUAAGACUGGGAUAACUUCGGGAAACCGGAGCUAAUACCGGAUAAUAUUUUGAACCGCAUGGUUCAAAAGUGAAAGACGGUCUUGCUGUCACUUAUAGAUGGAUCCGCGCUGCAUUAGCUAGUUGGUAAGGUAACGGCUUACCAAGGCAACGAUGCAUAGCCGACCUGAGAGGGUGAUCGGCCACACUGGAACUGAGACACGGUCCAGACUCCUACGGGAGGCAGCAGUAGGGAAUCUUCCGCAAUGGGCGAAAGCCUGACGGAGCAACGCCGCGUGAGUGGUGAAGGUCUUCGGAUCGUAAAACUCUGUUAUUAGGGAAGAACAUAUGUGUAAGUAACUGUGCACAUCUUGACGGUACCUAAUCAGAAAGCCACGGCUAACUACGUGCCAGCAGCCGCGGUAAUACGUAGGUGGCAAGCGUUAUCCGGAAUUAUUGGGCGUAAAGCGCGCGUAGGCGGUUUUUUAAGUCUGAUGUGAAAGCCCACGGCUCAACCGUGGAGGGUCAUUGGAAACUGGAAAACUUGAGUGCAGAAGAGGGAAGUGGAAUUCCAUGUGUAGCGGUGAAAUGCGCAGAGAUAUGGAGGAGCACCAGUGGCGAAGGCGACUUUCUGGUCUGUAACUGACGCUGAUGUGCGAAAGCGUGGGGAUCAAACAGGAUUAGAUACCCUGGUAGUCCACGCCGUAAACGAUGAGUGCUAAGUGUUAGGGGGUUUCCGCCCCUUAGUGCUGCAGCUAACGCAUUAAGCACUCCGCCUGGGGAGUACGACCGCAAGGUUGAAACUCAAAGGAAUUGACGGGGACCCGCACAAGCGGUGGAGCAUGUGGUUUAAUUCGAAGCAACGCGAAGAACCUUACCAAAUCUUGACAUCCUUUGACAACUCUAGAGAUAGAGCCUUCCCCUUCGGGGGACAAAGUGACAGGUGGUGCAUGGUUGUCGUCAGCUCGUGUCGUGAGAUGUUGGGUUAAGUCCCGCAACGAGCGCAACCCUUAAGCUUAGUUGCCAUCAUUAAGUUGGGCACUCUAAGUUGACUGCCGGUGACAAACCGGAGGAAGGUGGGGAUGACGUCAAAUCAUCAUGCCCCUUAUGAUUUGGGCUACACACGUGCUACAAUGGACAAUACAAAGGGCAGCGAAACCGCGAGGUCAAGCAAAUCCCAUAAAGUUGUUCUCAGUUCGGAUUGUAGUCUGCAACUCGACUACAUGAAGCUGGAAUCGCUAGUAAUCGUAGAUCAGCAUGCUACGGUGAAUACGUUCCCGGGUCU